Molecule: small RNA, 28 nt
Filed under: Bombyx mori (domestic silkworm)
Lineage: Eukaryota; Metazoa; Arthropoda; Insecta; Lepidoptera; Bombycidae
Description: piRNA piR-bmo-1704399
Source: RNAcentral
UACAGAUGGCUGUGGCUUUUGUGAGAUC